UACUCGAGGGAAUUGUGAAUAGCUAAUGUAGGGCUAUUGUCAGUAACUUAAGACAGUGAUCUUUGUUGUCAUAGAAUUGGGGCAGUUUUGAAACUUAAAAAUAAUUAAAUUACGCAAAAAUUAUAGACAGAAAGAAGUAUUUGCGCCAAGAAUUGGAAUCGUACUUGGGACUGAAAAGUUGAUGUGUAGGCUGGACACACGCCUUUAAUCCCAGCCCUUGGGAGGUAGAGGCAGGAGAAUAUCAGUGAGUUGGAGGCCAGCCUGGUCUACAAAGCGAGUUACAGGACAGAGAAACCCUGUCUCGAAAAACAAAAUAAAAACCAAACCAAAAUCAAAACAAAGAAAGGAAAAAGAAAAGAAAACUGCUGUUCUUGCAAGUUCAGUUCCAUCACUCACAAUGGGGUGGCUCACAGCUCCCUGUAACUCCAAUUCCAGGGGAUCCCUCACCCUCUUCCGGCAUCCAGGGCACCUGCAAGUACGUGGUAUGUAAACGCACGCAUGUACACAUAAAUAAAAUUCUUAGAAAUUUAACAAAGUCAGUGAGGACACUGAAAAUGGACAGAGUCCAAGUGACACUGAGGAGGGUCACCCACUCUUGGGACCCUGGCCAGGUGUGUUUAAGUAUUAUCGUUAAUUAGUGUUAUUAGCGUUAAAAACACUGAGUGAAAAGUUCUUUAAGUUCUUAAUGCCCGUACUCCUUAUAUUCUUUUUGCUAAGUAAGGAGAGGGUUGGGGAGAGGAAAUCUGACUCCCUGAUUAGCAGCUAACCAGGCUCUGCCUUGGUGCCCUGGCUACUCUGAACCAAUGGGCUGUUAGUCAAACAGCCAGAUUCACUAGGUAUUUUGAAUACUCCGCAGACACCUUGAGAAAACAGUACACAAUCACAGCCGGUUGCCUUGGUUGUUUGAAACACUUUGUACCAAACUUUUGGCUUUUACCUCAAUGAACUCCGGAUGACCCUGCAAUUAUUUCUAACUCAGGCCAGAGGGGGCUCAUUUUCCCCGAGGGUCUAGCAGAGGGACUGUUGUAAGAUGGGCGUUAAAGAGGUAAGGUGGUUGGUGCCAACACAAACCUUCUGAUUAUCCUAACCUCCUUCGUUAUUUCUAUGCUCCAAGCCUGCUCAUUGAGUUGACUCAUAGAGACUCCCCUGUGCUGCCCACCGGAUGUGGUAACAUUAGGCUCAACCAAAGUCUUCGCUUGAGUGGUCUUUUCUUGCGGGCUUUAGCGGUAAAGGAAGGAAGCUAAAUGUACUCUCAAGGGGCUGGAGAUGCGAACUGGUAACACACAGAGAAAAACGGCAGAAACAGCAGAGCUGUGGACCGACAGUGGCAGCCACAGCCUAGAUCUCACCACUGACAGCUGAGCAAUUGGUAUCGGGCAGCCGAAUACUUUGUCAGCAGUCGGAGGCCGGAGAAGAGUGACAUGAGCAGAGAGCUGGCAAGGAGAGGAGAGCUGAGGGACAUCGCAGAGACACUACGGUGCUGGCUGCCAGAGAGCUGUCCCUUGUUCAGGGCCAACGGUCUCAGAUGCCCCAGGCUUUAAGAGUGGCUGGUGUAAGCCCUAAGGAACCCUGGCUUCUGAGGUCUACAGUGGAGCUAUACGGCCACUGAUGCUGUCAGCUGCUGAGGUGUCCCAGCAUGGAGGCUCACCUGGAAGUUGCCCAGCCAGCUGCAGCCAAAGGCGGUCCUGAUGUCCUAGGACACAAGAGCUGUGACUUGCAGAGAUCACAAUGUAGGACUAUGAGCACCAGCACCAUGUCUGCCUGCACACUGCCAUGCUUCUCGCCAUGACGAUAAUGGACUAAACCUCUGAAACUGUAAGCCAGCCUGAGUUAAAUGUUUUCAUUUCUAAGAGUUGCUGUGGUCAUGGUGUCUCUUCACAGCAAUAGAAAUCCUAACUAGGACACCUGGUAUUGCCCUCUCUCAUGCUCAGACCCUGUGUCUGGGCUGGGCUUCUGGAGUCGGCCCCCUUCCUCAUCCUUCAGUCCUGGUCCAGGCUCUUCCUGGCUGGGACCACUAAUGCUGAGCAGGUCAAACGACCCCAAUUUUCUCGUCACUGUAUCCCACCAUCCUCUUUGUCUCUGGAACCCCCAACUCAGGCAUCUGGUGUCGCCCAUCAGUUUGCUUAGUGGUGAUGGGGUGUCUUGCUCGGUGUAGACAGCUCAGUGAUCCCCAAGGACUCUCACGAGGCAGGAGACCCCUCAGAAGAUACAGUAGACUUCCAUUCUCUCCACUCUGCUUGCCAAAAAUAAAGCCCCAAACCUUUGUUUGUACACUAGCAGCUACACAGGUCCACUAAAGGAAACUUAAAUGCAUAAUUGAGAGGACAGAAGGCAGCCAUUGUGCUACCACACCCAGGUCACCUGGGUCGGUCUGGUGUGUUCCUUUAAGCAGUCUCCGUCCAGCUGUGUAAUAAACAGUUAUAGUAACCAUGCUAUGUAGUAGCACAGCCCUCCCUCGGUUUUUCUUUUUUGAGACAGAUCUCAUUAUACAGUCCAGGGUAGCUUUAUACUCUCAGUUUAACUGACUCAGUGUAGAAGCACAGGCACAUACUAACACACCCAGUCUCUCUCUCUCUCUCUCUCUCUCUCUCUCUCUCUCUCUCUCUCUCUCUCUCUCUCUUUGGUGUGUUUUGUAGGCCAGAGGGCAACAUGUUUUGUGUUCUUUCUCAGUCCCUCUCCACUGUGUGUUUUUGAGACCUCGAAGCUAGCUCUCUGGUUGAGCUGGACUGGCUGCUUAGGAAGCCCCAGGGACCCUCCUGUCCCCGACCCCCCAGCACUGGGAUUACAGGCAUCACUGUCAUGCGGGGACUUUUCACAUGGAUGCCACGGUCCAGAUCCAGGUCCUCAUGCUUGUGUGGCAAGCACUUUUCCCACCAGGCCAUCACCCCAGCCUGAUUUUCUGCUUCUAACUGAAGUAUCAAAUUAUAAAUAGUUCCUCCAUGCUAUUGGCUAUAUUUUGAAAACAAUUUCUUGCCAGUACUGUCUCACUGCAUGAAAAGUGAAAGUUGUCAAAACCAAAAUGGAAUCUUUGUGUCAUAUGUAACAAAAGGAAGGUAAAUAAAGGAGACAUCAUAGGCA
Mesocricetus auratus (golden hamster) is the source of this 3078-nucleotide long non-coding RNA. RefSeq lists it as uncharacterized. The record is from RefSeq and is a predicted model, not a curated record. Lineage: Eukaryota; Metazoa; Chordata; Mammalia; Rodentia; Cricetidae. The transcript has 2 exons.